Molecule: ribosomal RNA, 574 nt
Filed under: uncultured Vagococcus sp.
Lineage: Bacteria; Bacillati; Bacillota; Bacilli; Lactobacillales; Enterococcaceae
Description: bacterial SSU rRNA
Rfam family: Bacterial small subunit ribosomal RNA
Source: RNAcentral
GCAUGUGGUUUAAUUCGAAGCAACGCGAAGAACCUUACCAGGUCUGACAUCCUUGACCACUCUAGAGAUAGAGCUUUCCCUUCGGGGACAAAGUGACAGGUGGUGCAUGGUGUCGUCAGCUCGUGUCGUGAGAUGUUGGGUUAAGUCCCGCAACGAGCGCAACCCUUAUUGUUAGUUGCCAUCAUUAAGUUGGGCACUCUAGCGAGACUGCCGGUGACAAACCGGAGGAAGGUGGGGAUGACGUCAAAUCAUCAUGCCCCUUAUGACCUGGGCUACACACGUGCUACAAUGGACAGUACAAUGAGCAGCGACACGGCGACGUGAAGCGAAUCUCAUAAAGCUGUUCUCAGUUCGGAUUGUAGGCUGCAACUCGCCUACAUGAAGCCGGAAUCGCUAGUAAUCGCGGAUCAGCACGCCGCGGUGAAUACGUUCCCGGGCCUUGUACACACCGCCCGUCACACCACGAAAGUUUGUAACACCCGAAGUCGGUGAGGUAACCGCAAGGAGCCAACCGCCUAAGGUGGGAUAGAUGAUUGGGGUGAAGUCGUAACAAGGUAACCAAGGGCGAAUUCUG